UCUUUCAUUUCAGAUGUAUAUGUCAUCUUGUAGAACAGCAUUCCAAACCCUUGACAGUUUCUGUAUAUAAUUCCCACUUUUGAAGAAUGUCUUGCACAACCUCAAUAGACUACAUUUCUUUACCUCUUGGGAAAACAAAACCGAACAAUGACGACACGACAACAAAACCCGGACUGGUUAAUUUCUUCUGUAGUCCUGUCAACCACAGAGUCCAAGGAUGUGGAAGUAAAAGAGGUCAUACGAAUGUCCCGGUGAGAGCAGGAAUAGGCAUAUAAAGAACUUGAAAAUCAUAUUGAUUGAGGAAAUGAAAACGCACCAGUGAAAAGUGUCAACACUUUCCAGGAUCCAGGCAGCAAAGGACAACAGUGGGGGCAGGACCAUGGAGUCAAAUUCUGGAAAAUGGAUUUUUGUUUCACAACAUCAAAAAGAAAAAACAUGGAGUUCAAAAAAUAAAAUAAGCAAAGACUGUGCAUGAAGUUUUUGAAUUCAAAAACACUUUCAAUUUUGAAUCUAUAGAAUACUAAACACCUCUGAAGAAAAUCUCUUCCCACAGGGCAUCCUAAGAUCCUAGGUGAAAAAUUCAAGUAGUUGUCCAUGGCCAUCUUGUCAAGUACCUAGAUGAUUAACUCUGUUUCUCACUUUUCUUCAGGACAUUGCACUGUGUACUCACAGUCAAGCUUGGAACUGUGAUCAGUAGGCAGGUAUAAAAUAAUGAAGAUACUAAUUUGAGAUUGGAGAU
Mirounga angustirostris (Northern elephant seal) is the source of this 739-nucleotide long non-coding RNA. RefSeq lists it as uncharacterized. NCBI's taxonomy places the organism in Eukaryota, Metazoa, Chordata, Mammalia, Carnivora, Phocidae. The transcript is spliced from 3 exons. The record is from RefSeq and is a predicted model, not a curated record.